This is a long non-coding RNA of Mesocricetus auratus (golden hamster), 980 nucleotides long. RefSeq lists it as uncharacterized. NCBI's taxonomy places the organism in Eukaryota, Metazoa, Chordata, Mammalia, Rodentia, Cricetidae. The record is from RefSeq and is a predicted model, not a curated record. The transcript has 3 exons.
GAUACGGAAACCAGGCACGGAGAGGUGGGGCUGCUGCUGAGGUGAGCCAGGCGCUGUGGCUGACAGACCUUCGGAACUGGUUUGAGAGAGGAGUGUGGAGGAGUCUGGCGUUGUUGGCUGCCUGAGUGGACAGCUGGUCAGGCAUUUGUUAUAGAAACACAAAGCAGAGGAAGGAAGCCUAGGCCAGUCCCCUUCUUAGAAACUCUGACUGUGUGGAGCUCAACCGCUGUCCUGAGCAAAACAGUUACACGCUGGCUUACAAGUCGUUCUGGAGUCUACUGCACAGACCACUGAUGUAAAUCUCUGGAGAGUGACCCUUCCUUUCAUCAGCUGUUUUAACAAGCAGGCACACUCUGGGCUCCAGGAAGUGUUUCAGAGCUACUGGGUCUCUCCAUGCUCUGCUACUUUUCUGUUCAGGACAGCAAACUCUUCAAGCAGUCCUUUCCCUAGAUGGAUGUUUUCUUCAGUUCACCGGACUUCCUCUCUCUGGCAGCUGGACCUCCUUAGGUGUGUGGCUGGAAGCUUUUCUUUAUCAAUCACAUGAGAAUCAGGCUCAACUGAGGGAUGACCCUAAAUACAGUCACUUCCACAGAAGCAGGAAGGCAAAGAAGUUUUUCUUCCCAUGGGCAAAUCACCAAAGCAAAGCACACAAACCACUAAGGAAGCCUUUCUGACACCAGCUGACCUCCACCUCAACUCUUCAGAUCUCCUCCAGCAGACCUCCUUAAGUCUGUCUAUGAUUCUCAUCUGGAAACCCUGAUGCUGGUCUCAGAUUCUCCCAGCCCAGAGGGAAGCAAAUCUCACAAUGGGGAUCUUCACAGUGCUCCCAAAGACUCCAAGGCCUCACUCGCCUGCAGCAUCUGCUUCAAGCUGAGAAGAGAUGCUGGGUUGAAUGUGGGUGGUAUGAGGGUCACAUCAGGUACUGCCUUCUCUAAAUUGUCUGCUACUUUACUGAGUAUAUAAUUGUGUAUUUUUUGUCA